AGAGUUUGAUCCUGGCUCAGGAUGAACGCUAGCGGCAGGCUUAAUACAUGCAAGUCGAGGGGCAGCGGGGUAGCAAUACCGCCGGCGACCGGCAAACGGGUGCGGAACACGUACAGAACCUUCCUUUAAGCGGGGAAUAGCCCGGAGAAAUCCGGAUUAAUACCCCAUAAUAAUAUUGAUUGGCAUCAAUUGAUAUUUAAAGAUUUAUCACUUAGAGAUGGCUGUGCGGCUGAUUAGGUAGUUGGUGUGGGUAAUGGCCCACCAAGCCUUCGAUCAGUAACUGGUGUGAGAGCACGACCAGUCACACGGGCACUGAGACACGGGCCCGACUCCUACGGGAGGCAGCAGUAAGGAAUAUUGGUCAAUGGACGCAAGUCUGAACCAGCCAUGCCGCGUGAAGGAUGAAGGCCCUCUGGGUUGUAAACUUCUUUUACAGGGGACGAAAUGCAUCUUUUCUAAGGUGUUUGACGGUACCCUGGGAAUAAGCACCGGCUAACUCCGUGCCAGCAGCCGCGGUAAUACGGAGGGUGCAAGCGUUAUCCGGAUUCACUGGGUUUAAAGGGUGCGUAGGUGGGUCUGUAAGUCAGUGGUGAAAUCUCCAGGCUUAACCUGGAAACUGCCAUUGAUACUAUAGGUCUUGAAUUAUCUGGAGGUCAGCGGAAUAUGUCAUGUAGCGGUGAAAUGCUUAGAUAUGACAUAGAACACCAAUUGCGAAGGCAGCUGGCUACAGGUUGAUUGACACUGAGGCACGAAAGCGUGGGGAUCAAACAGGAUUAGAUACCCCCGUAGUCC
Molecule: ribosomal RNA, 792 nt
Filed under: uncultured Chitinophagaceae bacterium
Lineage: Bacteria; Pseudomonadati; Bacteroidota; Chitinophagia; Chitinophagales; Chitinophagaceae
Description: bacterial SSU rRNA
Rfam family: Bacterial small subunit ribosomal RNA
Source: RNAcentral